AUGGAAACAUAUAUCAAAAUAUCAUUAUAUGCAGUGUGUACAUCACAUGCUUAUGACUAUUUUGCACAGACACUACAUCCAGUCUAUUUUGCUACUUGCAACUACUCCCUUGUGUUUAUUUGCACACAUCCAGGCAAAGUUGGUUUUCUUACAUGGUUUAGUUGCACAGUAAAGUGUUUAAUUACACAUAUAUCAUAUUCACCUCUAUUUUUGCUUCAUGUUCCUACUCCCUCCAACUAUGGAGAAGAUUGGUGGGAGAUCCAGAGGAAAAGGGAAGGGGGAAGUGAAGAAGGGGGGAUCUGGAGGCCAGAAGGAAAUUAUCUGAUGUUGCUGGCUGGUAUGCUUCUCUCCUCCCUUUUCUUACAACUGCAGUUUCUAGCCAAUUUUCACCUUGAUUACUUUGCCAUGGCAGCUCUGUAG
RNAcentral lists this ribosomal RNA (420 nucleotides) under Triticum aestivum (bread wheat). Its description in RNAcentral is "partial small subunit ribosomal RNA". The record is from RNAcentral. Lineage: Eukaryota; Viridiplantae; Streptophyta; Magnoliopsida; Poales; Poaceae.